This 23-nucleotide small nuclear RNA is filed under the name Arabidopsis thaliana (thale cress). RNAcentral's name for it is "snRNA_07753". Lineage: Eukaryota; Viridiplantae; Streptophyta; Magnoliopsida; Brassicales; Brassicaceae. The record is from RNAcentral.
UCCGGGUUAAUUAGGUUAGAUAG